RNAcentral lists this unclassified non-coding RNA (333 nucleotides) under air metagenome. RNAcentral's name for it is "partial contains small subunit ribosomal RNA, internal transcribed spacer 1, and 5.8S ribosomal RNA". The stretch from base 1 to 46 matches the Rfam family "Eukaryotic small subunit ribosomal RNA", at positions 1786 to 1831 of the family's 1831-position model. The record is from RNAcentral.
AAGUCGUAACAAGGUUUCCGUAGGUGAACCUGCGGAAGGAUCAUUACCGAGUUAGGGUCUCCUCCGUGAGGCCCGACCUCCCAACCCUGUGUCUAAGAAACCUGUUUGUGUUGCUUCGGCGGAACGGCAGUGACCUGACCCCCCCCCCUUCACCGGGGGGGACGGUUGUCCGUCGCCGGGGGACUUACGGUCUCACGACCGCCCCUGGAGAGCGUCCGCCGAUGGCCCCAACCAAAAAAACUACCAAACCCAAAUUGUGAAACAACUUCUGAAUCAGACCUUUUGAUACACCAAUCAAAAACAAAACUUUCAACAACGGAUCUCUUGGUUCUG